This 601-nucleotide ribosomal RNA is filed under the name uncultured bacterium. RNAcentral describes it as "bacterial SSU rRNA". It matches the Rfam family "Bacterial small subunit ribosomal RNA", at positions 568 to 1167 of the family's 1533-position model. The record is from RNAcentral.
UACGCGGGCGGUUUGUUAAGCGAGAUGUGAAAGCCCCGGGCUCAACCUGGGAACUGCAUUUCGAACUGGCAAACUAGAGUGUGAUAGAGGGUGGUAGAAUUUCAGGUGUAGCGGUGAAAUGCGUAUAGAUCUGAAGGAAUACCGAUGGCGAAGGCAGCCACCUGGGUCAACACUGACGCUCAUGUACGAAAGCGUGGGGAGCAAACGGGAUUAGAUACCCCGGUAGUCCACGCCGUAAACGAUGUCUACUAUAAGCUCGGAACCCCGGUUCUGUUUUUCAAAGCUAACGCAUUAAGUAGACCGCCUGGGGAGUACGGCCGCAAGGUUAAAACUCAAAUGAAUUGACGGGGGCCCGCACAAGCGGUGGAGCAUGUGGUUUAAUUCGAUGCAACGCGAAGAACCUUACCUACACUUGACAUACAGAGAACUUUCUAGAGAUAGAUUGGUGCCUUCGGGAACUCUGAUACAGGUGCUGCAUGGCUGUCGUCAGCUCGUGUUGUGAGAUGUUGGGGUUAAGUCCCGCAACGAGCGCAACCCCUAUCCUUAGUUGCUAGCAGGUAAUGCUGAGAACUCUAAAGGAGACUGCCGGUGAUAAACCGGA